UAUCCAUUUAAUAUACCUUGUAAAUCUCAAUACCAGGUCAAACUUGAAACGCACCCAAUUUCGGCCCCAAAGACAUCAGAACGAUUUUACACGAGGUACAUCAGUUCGUAAUGGCGUAUGCUGGUGUUCGAUGUUUAUGCUCAUGAUGCUUUUGCUUUUUAUUUCAGCGUUUGAAGACGAAAUUCGAGGCGUGAUUGGCUCAGAACAGCGAAGCUCAUUGCCAAGAUUCAAAUUAUGAACAGUUUGACAAGCAUUGUUUGUAUUGUAUUGUAGUGUAUUGGUAGGGGUUUGAAUUUGAGAUUUCAGCAAAUUUCAAAUUAGAAGUGAUGUAGGAGUUGUGUCAUUGCAGUGCAAUUAUGAAAUUCUUCCAAAUGCCAUGUUGGAGGGAUUGGAAAGCCAUAUUGAAGUAUCAUUGGCGACAUUGGCUAGCCAGUUCACAUACCUACCAGAGUUGUUUGAUAUUUGAUAAAUAUUUGGUUGGUAGGUACCUUUUCAUUUGAAUUAAAGCUGGAACUGGAACGUAACAGUGAAGAAAAGGAUGCUGAUUACUUGAUGUAUUGAAAAUACCAACUGGGCCCUGUUCAUGUUUCAACGUUCUGCUUCUGACACUGCGCACGCUGCAGCGUGCUGGGAGCUAUAGCAUACCAGCAGCGCGUUGGGUGUUCAUGGAAACAUUACAAACUCGGAUGCCUCAAUGCUGAAGCUUUGAGCCGAAUUCGUCUUGAACGCUGCACCAGCGCUCUGCAGUGCACGCACCAUCCAGACCGUGAAACAGGGCUCUGGUCGUAGAUGUUGAUUUCUUUGUAACUGGUAACGGAAGCAUCAAGCAUGAUGAGCAGCACCAUGAAGAGUGAGUUGCUGCCGCUGGUAUUGAAAUAUAAGUAACUUUUUGUCUUUUAGCAGAGCUAGACAUUAAAUUUGGUAUCCUUUUACAAACUUACUAUUAUGGAUGUCAAGAUGUUGCUAACAGUGGUGCUGGCACCACCAACACCAGUCUAUCUCUUUAUGCUGGUGUUUCAUCCCUUUGCACUGCAGAUGGUUGACAAAGCACAAAGCAAAGCAAGCACAAAGCAUUCACUCAGUUCCUAAUCUCGGUCUCCGCUGCUCUCACCUGUGUCAGCUGUCUUGUCUACCCCUGUACUCCUGAGUCCUUACUCCCUCUCUCUUUCGCUUUACCCAGGUUUUGUCAAUGUUCUGCAUGUACAGUUGCUGCUUUUUGGUGCGCCCAGGCUGUUCAUCCAAUUAAUGCCUGAAGAGUUGCUGAAAGUGCCUCCCGCCAGACUUGCUGAAUGGCUAUUACCUGCAUCUGCUAUCUGGACUGAAGCUUCCCCAACUAGCUGACAUGGGUCUCGGCAGCUGGGCUUAAUAGGUCACAGGUCAAAGUUCAUUCGGGGCAGGUUCAUAAAAUGUUAAGGACAUGUGUAAAAUUGAUCAACUCGAGGGUACUGAAAGUUUCGUCGCAAUCGGCCUCUUUUUUUACGAGAGCUAUCGGCGAAAAACCGAGAAGGGGUCCGUUCGACCCCCCCCCCCCAUACGGGUGAGGGUUAAGCUACAUUCGGAAAUUCAAACUACAUCUAGCUAAGCACAUCAGCCCAUCAUGGGCGUUUGACUAGUAAAAUAUAGACGUUUCAGCCUUAUGUUACGUUGAAUAAGCCUAAUUUAAUUAUAGAAGGUCGUCAUUAUGUGCCUGCUGCGGCUUUUGUCGUCUUCAUUGUGUGCUUUGUGGUUUUUUAGUUUUGAUCAUAUCAUCCUCCACCAGGCUUGUUUCUGACGGUGGUUCUGAAGACAGCGGGUCGAUCCAGCUGUAGGACGUCAUCUGGAGGUGGAAGAGUGUGAUGGCCAGCCACGCGGCGCGCGUAUCGACAUUGACCAGAAACCAUCACAUCAUCUCCAGGUCACUGGUCGCGGGCGCUCGAGCUGACGGUGUCUUCCAACGGCUCCACGGUGACCAGCGCCGCCACCGCCGAGACCAUCCGACUCCUGAAAUGAUAAUGGCCGUACACGAACAAGAGGCUCUAAGCAUCCAGGUGCAAGCAAGCGCCAUGCUCAGAGGCGUCAUCCGAAGAAGGUCGCACAGGGCACUUAAGGCUGAGCUCGGGUGUAGUGCGCGCUGACGGAUAGGAUGAAAUGACGGCCAUCAUCUUUCAGUGCGGAGAUCAAGAUGGUCGGAGCCGACGUGGCUCCGUUGAUGGUUGCUGGGGUUGAUUGAGAGUGGAGGCGAGACACCCGGAUCUGUGAAGGAUACGUCGAUACAGGUCUCGACGUCGUCUCGCAAUUUGUGCUAUGUAAUAUGACGGCUAUGCCGUGGUCUCAUUCACUCUCGAUACGCUGAUAAAUCAUAAAUAGGACAGAGGCUGGAAUAAAGAUGAUUAUAUUCCAUAU
RNAcentral lists this long non-coding RNA (2382 nucleotides) under Amphibalanus amphitrite. RNAcentral describes it as "uncharacterized LOC122386397". Lineage: Eukaryota; Metazoa; Arthropoda; Thecostraca; Balanomorpha; Balanidae. The record is from RNAcentral.